Molecule: ribosomal RNA, 664 nt
Filed under: Suillus quiescens
Lineage: Eukaryota; Fungi; Basidiomycota; Agaricomycetes; Boletales; Suillaceae
Description: eukaryotic LSU rRNA
Rfam family: 5.8S ribosomal RNA (bases 223-377)
Source: RNAcentral
CUGCGGAAGGAUCAUUAAUGAAAUUAUAAUCCGGCGAGGGAAAGGCGGAGAGUUGUAGCUGGCCCUAGGGCAUGUGCACGCUUUCUUCUGGACUUUCGCCGUAUGGGCGCGGGGCGACCCGCGUCUUCAUAUACCUCUUCGUGUAGAAAGUCUUUGAAUGUUUUUACGAUCAUCGAGUCGUGACUUCUAGGAGACGCGAUUCUUUGAGACAAAAGUUAUUACAACUUUCAGCAACGGAUCUCUUGGCUCUCGCAUCGAUGAAGAACGCAGCGAAUCGCGAUAUGUAAUGUGAAUUGCAGAUCUACAGUGAAUCAUCGAAUCUUUGAACGCACCUUGCGCUCCUCGGUGUUCCGAGGAGCAUGCCUGUUUGAGUGUCAGUAAAUUCUCAACCCCUCUCGAUUUGCUUCGAGCGGGUGCUUGGAUGGUGGGGGCUGCCGGAGACCUGGAUUCGUUCAGGACUCGGGCUCCUCUGAAAUGAAUUGCCUUGCGGUCGACUUUCGACUUUGCAUGACAAGGCCUUUGGCGUGAUAAUGAUCGCCGUUCGCCGAAGUGCACGACAGAAUGGUCCCGUGCCUCUAAUGAGUCGACGCCUUCUGGCGUCUUCCUUAUCGACGUUUGACCUCAAAUCAGGUAGGACUACCCGCUGAACUUAAGCAUAUCAAUA